RNAcentral lists this ribosomal RNA (253 nucleotides) under uncultured bacterium. RNAcentral's name for it is "partial 16S ribosomal RNA". It matches the Rfam family "Bacterial small subunit ribosomal RNA", at positions 524 to 776 of the family's 1533-position model. The record is from RNAcentral.
UACGAGGGGGGCGAGCGUUGUUCGGAAUUAUUGGGCGUAAAGGGCGCGUAGGCGGUGCGGUAAGUCACCUGUGAAACCUCUGGGCUCAACUCAGAGCCUGCAGGCGAAACUGCCGUGCUGGAGUGUGGGAGAGGUGCGUGGAAUUCCCGGUGUAGCGGUGAAAUGCGUAGAGAUCGGGAGGAAUACCAGUGGCGAAGGCGGCCUUCUGGACGGAUACUGACGCUGAGGCGCGAAAGCCAGGGGAGCAAACGGG